CGGCUCUGCAGAAUUUGGACUCGUGCGCUCCCGCAGUUGCGUUCAUAAUCAUUCCUACACCUGACCUUAGACAGGAACGAUUUACCAGAGAGACCCAAGUAGAACAGAGGUGUGGAUCCAAUUUAUCAGAAGGUCACUGAACUAUGGGUCCAUUCCUGUGUUCCUCAGCAGGAUCAUUAAGAAGUAUCUGCUACAGGGACAAUCUAAUAAGGAAUUAAUAACAUGUGCUGAAUGAAUGAACAGGAUUCUUCUUAGUGUCCCUACACCUGAAGAAAUCAAAUCAAGAAAGAUCUAGACAUAUUUCCUUUCCUCUGUUUUCCAAAUGUGUCACGAAGACCACAUACAUUAGAGUCAUCUAGGAUCUUUGUUAGUCAAGUAUAUUCCUGGGCCUCACCUCGGCCCUAAUGAAUCAGAAUCCAUGAGUGGAGACAGGUUAAAAAAAAUAAAAUCCAGCAAAUAGGUAAAAUAAUGGUAACACCUUGAUCAAGAAUACUCUCUGUCCAAUUCAACCUCUCCACAUCUGUUUUCAUUAACAAAAAUAUUAGAGCAAUGACUACCCUGGACACUGACAGCUCGGCUAUGACAAGCUGAAAAUGAUAGAGGACAUAUAUCAACUUCAACAAAGGAAAUCCUACAGAGAUGCUUAGUGGAAGAGAUGACAUUUUUGGGUCUUUGACCUCAGACUUGGAGUAGCUGACCUUGCCUGAACCACGUCCUCUUUUUUGGGAGAAAUCCAAAGACAGACGGGUGGCUGCCUUUCACCAGAGAAUCUGAAGGAGGACAAAUAUUUCCUCUCCUGGCUUCCUGCAGCUGUAACACAAGUAAAUGACCUAAGACUACUUAAUGGAAUGUUCCACCCAGGACUUUGAACUUGGACUGUCUGUAAGAAUCAUAGAGAGAAUUAAUUUCAGGUGCUGCAAAACAGCAGCUCCAGUGUUCUUUGAUAAUACUGCCAGCAUCUGAUACUCAGCCAUCUUAAUGAAGAAAUGAAAACUGAAACACUGUAAUACUACUUUUCCCUAACACAUUAAAAAGAUCAAAAAGUUUUCCAAUA
Molecule: long non-coding RNA, 1054 nt
Organism: Choloepus didactylus (southern two-toed sloth)
Lineage: Eukaryota; Metazoa; Chordata; Mammalia; Pilosa; Megalonychidae
Exons: 6
Source: RefSeq, a predicted model, not a curated record